GACGAACGCUGGCGGCGUGCUUAACACAUGCAAGUCGAACGGCAAGGCCCUGCUUUUGUGGGGUGCUCGAGUGGCGAACGGGUGAGUAACACGUGAGUAACCUGCCCUUGACUUUGGGAUAACGUCAGGAAACUGGGGCUAAUACCGGAUAGGAGCUCCUGCUGCAUGGUGGGGGCUGGAAGGUUUCGGCGGUUGGGGAUGGACUCGCGGCUUAUCAGCUUGUUGGUGGGGUAGUGGCUUACCAAGGCUUUGACGGGUAGCCGGCCUGAGAGGGUGACCGGCCACAUUGGGACUGAGAUACGGGCCAGACUCCUACGGGAGGCAGCAGUGGGGAAUAUUGCACAAUGGGCGGAAGCCGGAUGCAGCAACGCCGCGUGCGGGAUGACGGCCUUCGGGUUGUAAACCGCUUUCGCCUGUGACGAAGCGUGAGUGACGGUAAUGGGUAAAGAAGCACCGGCUAACUACGUG
Molecule: ribosomal RNA, 468 nt
Filed under: uncultured bacterium
Lineage: Bacteria
Description: partial 16S ribosomal RNA
Rfam family: Bacterial small subunit ribosomal RNA
Source: RNAcentral